AACUGUAGAGAUUUGCAAAGAGAAAAAUGAUAGACAGGUGCAGACUUCCUAUUAUUUAAUUGAUCUCCAUUAAUUGUAGAGAUUUCUUUUUUAGAGUCAUUCUCUAAGUCCAACACUUCUAUAGUUAUUUUCUUAACUAUCAUAAAUGAAAUAAACAACUUAAAAGUAAUUAUCCUUAAUUACAUUAUAACUAAUUAAUUUUCUCUUGUGGGCCUUGUAUUUUUCGGCUAGACUUACAAAAUUAGUAGUCUAUGCUUCUUAGUUCUAAACUUUUGCAGCAACUGUCCAAUUUAAGCCGAUUUAUGUAUAUUUAGCUCAUAUUCUCCCUUUGGCUAUUAAUACGUGAAAUUAGACAAUAAGACUAAAGUAAGAUAAUAAGUACAUAUUUCAAUAUAUUAUAUAUAUAAAAUCACAAUAUAUAUAUAUAUAUAUAAAAUAUGAACCUAUCAAUCCAUAUAUUAGAAGUGGUGAUUGUCCUAUAUUCUUAAGCAACCUCGCAUUUAGAUCCUCACACAUAAAAAUCAAUAGUAUUUGAGCAUUACAAGCUAUACCAUAAAGCAAGUGAACUUAGUUCUUUGCCUUAUAAUAUUAGACUAGCUUUCUUGUGACAUGUCUUUUUUUACCUUUGUAAAAUGUCAAGUCUUGUCUUUAAUAGGUCAUAAUUUGUCUAAAGUAAAAGGUGUUUUUCUUUUAACAAUGAGUAAAACUUGUUUAAAGUAAUAAAAACUAAAUAAUUUUUUUAAAAACAUAAUAAAAAUAUAUCAUCUUAAAACUUUUAUAUAUAUUAAACAUACAAAAAGUGAAUGCAGAAGGCAACAAACAAACAACCAUUAAGAAAAUCCUCAUAUUGUCUUCCUUAUUUUAUUUAAAAAAAAGACAACAAACAAACUAAUUAUAAUAAUAAAAAAAACUCUUUCACACUGGAGUUGCACUAAAAAUAAAAUAGUUAAUACUUGAACCUUCAUGUUAACUUUUUCUCACCAAAUUUUACCUUCAUAAACAGGAAAUAACUAUAUAACAAAAAUUCAUAAGAUUAUUUCUAUAAACUUUAAUAUAUGUGCUAUCUCUAAAAUUUUUAAAUUAAAUUUGAAAAUCUAGACACUUAUUUUCAACCAAAUUCCAAUUAUUGCACAAGAUAAAAAAAAAAGCCAAGAAUCAUUUCUGCAAAUAAAAAUUUAAAAGAAAAAAAUUAAUCUUCAUAAAUAUAAAAAUUAAUCAAAUAUUAACCAUAUUCAUCUUAAAAUUAACCAACUAUCAACUGAAUAAGUAUAAUAUAUCAUUUGUAAUAAGCGUAGUAAAUAGAAAAAUAUUUAAAAUGAUUAAAGAGUGAUAAAAAAAAUGACGAUCACAUCCAACAUAUACUAGUCCAUAAUAUACCAUUAUUUUAAUUUAAUUCCAUUAAAUCUUAAUCUAAAUUAAUUUUGAUGGGUCCAUUAUUAUUCUAAUCAAUUCUUUUUAAAAGUAAAAAGAGGAAAAAAUGGUAAUAACAUUAGUAAUACCGAGUUAAAAUCUAUGCCAAUCGGCAUUAUCUUCAUUUUGUUUUCUUUUUGAUAAAUGAAAAAACUAGCAACAAAAUCUGUCUUUUGAAAUCUGACAACCAAAAUGCCUAAUGAACCACACCCUAAUGUCUCUCUCUAGCCCUAGCCUAGAAAAAAAUAACAAACACAGAGAGUAUAAAUCAUAAUGAAAACAAAAACAAAAAUAAUAUUUCUCAUCUUCUCUUUCUAGUCAUUUUUUUUUUUUACUCUCCCAUAUUUGACAUAAAGCAAAUUGAGCUAGUAAGAACAAGAAGAAGAAAAGAAGAAACACUUAUUCUUUUUCAUAAAACAAGAAAUAGAAGGGAAAAGGUAGUGAUGGAAAAAAGAAAAGAAAAACAACAUUCUUAUUUCAAUUCAAAUAACGAAAGUGAAGAUAUAAGAAAUGUAAAUAAAUUAAAGUUGGAGUUUUUGUGUCUUGUGAUAGUGACUUUUAAGGAGAGAGAAAAAAGAAAAUUAUUAAAAAUAAAUAAAAAAAUGUAAAAAAAAAUAAAAGACAAAAAUGCUUAUUUUUAAAAAAUGAUGUAUGUAGUAUAAAAUUUUUUAAAUAGACAUUACGAAUUUAUUUAUUAAAAAAAUUUGAAAUUAAAGUUUUUUUUAACUCAAUCACAACUGAGGAGGCA
This 2158-nucleotide long non-coding RNA is filed under the name Ricinus communis (castor bean). RNAcentral describes it as "long non-coding RNA (RCOM_LNC001540)". Lineage: Eukaryota; Viridiplantae; Streptophyta; Magnoliopsida; Malpighiales; Euphorbiaceae. The record is from RNAcentral.